RNAcentral lists this ribosomal RNA (237 nucleotides) under Oxyrrhis marina. Its description in RNAcentral is "partial Bacterial small subunit ribosomal RNA". It matches the Rfam family "Bacterial small subunit ribosomal RNA", at positions 470 to 706 of the family's 1533-position model. Lineage: Eukaryota; Dinophyceae; Oxyrrhinales; Oxyrrhinaceae. The record is from RNAcentral.
UGACGGUACCUGCAGAAGAAGCCCCGGCUAACUCCGUGCCAGCAGCCGCGGUAAUACGGAGGGAGCUAGCGUUGUUCGGAAAUACUGGGCGUAAAGCGAACGUAGGCGGCUUAGCAAGUCAGGGGUGAAAUCCCGGAGCUCAACUCCGGAACUGCCUUUAAUACUGGCAAUCUUGAGUCCGAGAGAGGUGAGUGGAACUCCUAGUGUAGAGGUGGAAUUCGUAGAUAUUAGGAAGAA